AAGUCGUAACAAGGUUUCCGUAGGUGAACCUGCGGAAGGAUCAUUAACGAAUAUCUAUGGCGUUGGUUGUAGCUGGCUCCUAGGAGCAUUGUGCACGCCCGUCAUUCAUAUCUUUCCACCUGUGAACCAUUUGUAGGCUUGGAUACCCCUCGCUUUGGCAACAAAGCGGAUGCAAGGGUUGCUGCGUCGACAAGGCCGGCUCUCUUUGAAUUUCCAGGUUCUAUGUCUUUUACACACCCCAUUCGAAUGAUUUAGAAUGUAGUCAAUGGGCUUUCAUGCCUAUAAAAAACUAUACAACUUUCAGCAACGGAUCUCUUGGCUCUC
Molecule: unclassified non-coding RNA, 324 nt
Filed under: Candolleomyces candolleanus
Lineage: Eukaryota; Fungi; Basidiomycota; Agaricomycetes; Agaricales; Psathyrellaceae
Description: Psathyrella candolleana partial internal transcribed spacer region
Rfam family: Eukaryotic small subunit ribosomal RNA (bases 1-46)
Source: RNAcentral